This 585-nucleotide ribosomal RNA is filed under the name uncultured bacterium. RNAcentral's name for it is "bacterial SSU rRNA". It matches the Rfam family "Bacterial small subunit ribosomal RNA", at positions 338 to 916 of the family's 1533-position model. The record is from RNAcentral.
CCUACGGGAGGCAGCAGUGGGGAAUUUUGGACAAUGGGGGCAACCCUGAUCCAGCCAUGCCGCGUGCGGGAAGAAGGCCUUCGGGUUGUAAACCGCUUUUAGCCGGGAAGAAAAGGCAGGGGCUAACACUCUCUGUUCUUGACGGUACCGGCGGAAUAAGCACCGGCUAACUACGUGCCAGCAGCCGCGGUAAUACGUAGGGUGCGAGCGUUAAUCGGAAUUACUGGGCGUAAAGCGUGCGCAGGCGGUUCGUUAAGUCUGAUGUGAAAGCCCCGGGCUCAACCUGGGAAUGGCAUUGGAUACUGGCGGGCUUGAGUGUGGCAGAGGGGGGUGGAAUUCCGCGUGUAGCAGUGAAAUGCGUAGAGAUGCGGAGGAACACCGAUGGCGAAGGCAGCCCCCUGGGCUGACACUGACGCUCAGGCACGAAAGCGUGGGGAGCAAACAGGAUUAGAUACCCUGGUAGUCCACGCCCUAAACGAUGAUCACUGGGUGUUCGGGGAGCGAUCUCUGGGUACCGUAGCUAACGCGUGAAGUGAUCCGCCUGGGGAGUACGGUCGCAAGAUUAAAACUCAAAUGAAUUGACGG